AAGCGCUUAUGACCAGACUUGGACUUGGUUGAUCAUCCUGGGUUCUCCCUGGUGCACUCUUCCAGUUCAGGCCAGCAUCAGUUCAUCGCGGGGGAUAAAGGCUUCGGGAAUGUGGCUCCCUCGGGAGUGUUAUAACCCGUUGUGUAAUACCCUGCUUUGGACUGAGGUUCGCGCAUCUGCAAGGAUGCUGGCGUAAUGGUCAUCAGCGA
This 209-nucleotide ribosomal RNA is filed under the name Cylindrocladiella sp. Its description in RNAcentral is "partial large subunit ribosomal RNA". The record is from RNAcentral. Lineage: Eukaryota; Fungi; Ascomycota; Sordariomycetes; Hypocreales; Nectriaceae.